ACUAUUUCUUCCAAGCGCCUCCCAAGAUCAUCCUGCUGAGUGACACAUCCCUUAACUGUCCACCUCUGCUCCGACUGGCCACCCUUCUCAGUGACAAAGCUAGUGUCUGGAUGUUGUUGAUGUACUGCAAGGAGAAGCAGACUAAACUAGAUAGUGCCAGUGGAGUUCAGAGCAGCCACCAGUCUGGCACCAUUCUUUGACACCAAGUCCCCUGAAAAUCACCAUGACGCUGCCUCCCGAUGUUUGACAACAUCCCGAAAACAACUGGGACACAUGUGUUCACACUUUAUACAUCUAAACUAUAACGCUCUGUCAGAAUCGACCAAAUAGAAGAAAAUGCCAAUUAAACAGAGAGAGCCAAGUGCAAGUGUAUCUUCUAUUCACCUCUAUUUAGCUUGGACAGCCUUCGCCUGUUUGACAUGGAGAGGCAAAAUGAUAAGAUGUCCUCUAGCUCGUGAAUAACAGCUUGGGAAGAAAAAAGACUAUCAACAGAGACCAGUUAGGCAGCUGGCACGUAAG
Molecule: long non-coding RNA, 519 nt
Filed under: Mus spicilegus (steppe mouse)
Lineage: Eukaryota; Metazoa; Chordata; Mammalia; Rodentia; Muridae
Description: lncRNA (ENSMSIG00000019491.1)
Source: RNAcentral